AGUGAACGCUGGCGGUAGGCCUAACACAUGCAAGUCGAACGGCAGCACAGUAAGAGCUUGCUCUUACGGGUGGCGAGUGGCGGACGGGUGAGGAAUACAUCGGAAUCUACUUAUUCGUGGGGGAUAACGUAGGGAAACUUACGCUAAUACCGCAUACGACCUACGGGUGAAAGCAGGGGAUCUUCGGACCUUGCGCGAUUGAAUGAGCCGAUGUCGGAUUAGCUAGUUGGCGGGGUAAAGGCCCACCAAGGCGACGAUCCGUAGCUGGUCUGAGAGGAUGAUCGGCCACACUGGAACGGAGACACGGACCAGACUACUACGGGAGGCAGCAGUGGGGAAUAUUGGACAAUGGGCGCAAGCCUGAUCCAGCCAUACCGCGUGGGAGAAGAAGGCCUUCGGGUUGUAAAGCCCUUUUGUUGGGAAAGAAAAGCAGCAGGUUAAGACCCCGCUGUUCUGACGGUACCCAAAGAAUAAGCACCGGCUAACUUCGUG
This 492-nucleotide ribosomal RNA is filed under the name uncultured bacterium. RNAcentral's name for it is "partial 16S ribosomal RNA". It matches the Rfam family "Bacterial small subunit ribosomal RNA", at positions 29 to 507 of the family's 1533-position model. The record is from RNAcentral.